UACAGAGGGGGCAAGCGUUAUUCGGAAUUAUUGGGCGUAAAGGGCGCGUAGGCGGCUUCGCAAGUGGAAGGUGAAAUCCCUCGGCUUAACCGGGGAACUGCGUCUGAUACUGGAUGGCUUGAGUUUGGGAGAGGGAUGCGGAAUUCCAGGUGUAGCGGUGAAAUGCGUAGAUAUCUGGAGGAACACCGGUGGCGAAGGCGGCAUCCUGGACCAACACUGACACUGAGGAGCGAAAGCCAGGGGAGCAAACGGG
This 253-nucleotide ribosomal RNA is filed under the name uncultured bacterium. RNAcentral's name for it is "partial 16S ribosomal RNA". It matches the Rfam family "Bacterial small subunit ribosomal RNA", at positions 524 to 776 of the family's 1533-position model. The record is from RNAcentral.